GAGAAACCGAAAACGAAAGAAAACAAAAGCAGAGAAAGAAAGAAGGAAAAGAGAAAAGGGGGAGGAAGAAGUGGGUGCACUACGUUGAAGCCAUAGCUAUAACUGUUGAGGAAUUCUAAGCACUAAUUGUCUUUUACGGAUUGAUUGGAGGAAUUUGUACGAGUUGCUUGAGGUGAAACAGUUGGUAUUUUGGCACGAGUACUAUUGAUUGGAGGAAUUUGUACAAGUUGCUUGAGGUGAAGCAGUUGGUAUUUCGGCACGAGUACUAGACAGCAGUUGACGCGGGCGAGGAUUUCGUUAAUUAGAG
Nicotiana tabacum (common tobacco) is the source of this 307-nucleotide long non-coding RNA. RefSeq lists it as uncharacterized. The record is from RefSeq and is a predicted model, not a curated record. NCBI's taxonomy places the organism in Eukaryota, Viridiplantae, Streptophyta, Magnoliopsida, Solanales, Solanaceae.